AAUAUCAUAUGAAAUAUGAAAGAGUUUACAAGUAGGUAAAGAAAAACAUCAUUCAUUAGCAAGCUUGUCUUCAUGUAGAAUAUGAAAUUCAUGUUAUUCAGCGCCAAGAUGUGGUUGGAUGAAUGAACCCUUAACAGUAAUUGUACCUAGCAGAAGAUAAAAAGGGCUGCAGCUAAUCUGAAGGAAAAAAGGGAAAAACAGAGAUCCACAAUAGUGACACGCAUGAUUACACCAAAGUCAGUUAUCCCAGCCUGUGCAGAUUUCUUCAAAGCUGAGAGUACACACAGGAAGAGAUGAUUUCAUGGAGGCCCAUGGCGGCGGCAGUGAGGUUCAACAGGACAGAUUUCCUGAGUGAGGCAAGACGUGGAGUCAGCUACUCCAGGGCUGCUUGUGCUGCCUCCUCCGCUGUGCGAGGUGCCCUCAUGGCACAGGUGAGGCUGAGCCUCUCCUCCUGACUGUUGACCGUUGGUUGCCACGUGGCUGGCAGCGCCAGGCGCCCAGCCCAGUCUAGGGGGUGGAGGGGCGGGGCCUCAGCGCCCAAUCUCAGUGGCGGCAGUGAGGAGAUUUGUGUCAGGAGGCGGUGCCUUCUCAAACGUCCUCUGUUCUCUCCUGCCAUCCUCCUGGUGUCUACCUGAGCUGUAGAAAAUGUAAAAUCUCUGGAGAACAUCUCCGUAUGGAUAUAUGGCUCGAUCCAUCACCAUACAAGUACUGCUCCUUCUCAAUCAGACAAUUAGAAACUCCGGCCGCUGAGUCAUGCCAGCAAAACUUUUCUCUCUGAAUUUUCUUAGCCCCUUCUUUAUUAUAUUCUAGAUCUAGGGUAUUAUCACAAACCUUUUGGGUUUCAUUUUUGCCAUGUGUCUGAUCUAAGAGAUACGCUGGAACUUGUGUUUCCUUGAUUAUGGACCUUGUGCUUGUGAAGCAAGCAGCAGAAUCACUGAGUUGAAUCUUUUAACUUAUCCUUGAGGUAGGGAACUAAUGUGUACUCCUCCUUCAGAACCAGUUUUCAGUCCAAGUCUGAAAUGGUCAGAUUUUUCGCGAUUCCCAAAUAUUCGACCACAAUCUCCUUCUCAUCAUCAGAGACCUGGGCUGCAAGGCCCCCAGCAUGAACUUUCAGUUGGUCCAUCAUGCUGGGAAGUGUUUCUAAUCAUUUUCACCAGCAAUGGCGCCUUGAACUGCAGAGCCCUUUUUAUGAAUAUCUUCAGCCCAUUUUCUUCUUAGAUCAGCUGACCAUUCCUCUUAUUGGCAGCAAGAUUAAUGCAGAAAGACAAGUUUCAGGUGACUUCAUGGGAACAUUCAAAGACUGUCUUCAUUACUUGUGGUAUAGAGUCAGUGUGUGCAGACAAAGUGAUCAGCCAUGCUUAUAUGAUGUUGUUUUCAUUGCGUAGGAGUCAGCGAGUUUGGGAAGGAGUCCAGCUUGCACCAUCUUAUUCCUCAGUCCUUGAAGGACUGAGCAGUUGGAGACUAUUACUGUGGGCAGAGCCUCAGCCUUGGCAGUUGGGGACAGUUACUGUGGGAGAAGCCUCUGCCUCACUUUGAUGGCCACAGUCUCUCUGGAAGGGAAAAAUAUUUUUACAAAUCCAUCUACAUUGCAGAAAAUGCAGGUGAUAAAAAGGGAAAUGGAAAACCGUCACUGUUUGGGCAUCUUGCUCUCUCUCCUUCCACCCUGGGGAAAUUGGCCUUGGGAGUAUAAAGAUUUUAUUUAUUAAAGGAACUUAAAUUUUCUAGUAUAUGUGUUGAGUCUGCCUUUUAAAACAGACUAAAGGGCUCAAGUGACUCACCCGUAGUAAUUUUGUAAUUCAAAGUAAUAUGGGGGUAUUUGUUGACGCUCUAAUCAACAAAUAUUCGAGUAAAACUUUUAAAGAUGGAUUUAUUAGCUGUAUAGGUUCAACAAACGAAAUAUAAAAAUCACACAAAUGGUGGUCGAGUGCAGCUUUUCCUACACAAAAACCUUUGGGCUUAAAUGCAUAAACACAAGGAGGAGUGAGAAGAAAAAGGAGGGAGGACCAGAAAAAGUGCUGCCUGAGCAACAGAGAAGUUGCCGGAAGCCCUCAGAUGGGCCAGCUUCCUCAGGACGUCCGCGGGAUGUGUGGGUGGGGUGGCAGGAUGGCUCCUGUUCAGCCAGGGCCCCCCAAGACGAGGGGCCAGGCUGCUGUCUCCCUUCCCAGAGGACACCUGCCCCACUGCCAUGGUGCGUGCGGGCCUGCGACCUUGCAACUAACUCAGCCACGCAGGAGCGGGUCAGAGGCUGGGAACGACGUCCUGAGUGAAGGCUGGAAUUCAUUUCAGGCCUCCCAGUGCACCUGCCGCGGUGACCAGAGGCUCUGUGUCAGGACAGAGCCUGGGUCCUCCACCGGCCUCCCCAAGUCCCCUCGAGAGGCGUUAGGGGAGAGGGUAGGAGCUGCCUCUGCCUGAGACCCUGACACCCCAGGGGGAACCCCGUGCGGGGCCCUGGAGACGUUGGCCUCCUGCGCCUGCGCUCCUUGACCAGAGCGCGAGAUCGUAGGUUGCAGGCUGGGGUGGACCCGUAGGGGAGCUUUAUAGGGCUGCGGCUCCGAAGUCUGCACGGCUGCGGGAAUUGAACUGUAGCAGAGCCAUAUAUUACUGGGUUGAUAGUGCCUUGAGGAGAGCAGGCUUGGUCUCUAGGAUGAGGUUAGGUCGGGACUGUUCCAGCCCUGUUCAAUUAUGUGAUUUAGGUGGCCUUACAGGGAACUCUGGAAAAUUUCAAACUCUGCAUAGGAAGGGGGCAUGCAGCAGAUAAGAAAUGGGGUAGGAUCUAUAGCAAAACCCUGUUGAUCUUUGGUGAUACGAUCACGUAUUUUUCCUGUUCUCCCUUCUAGACAGGAGCAAAAGUAUCCAAAUGACUUUUAAAAUUGCUUUGAUGUCAUAGUAAAGUGUAUUGUGAGCUUCAAGGGAUUAAACAAAAUAAUAUUGACCUCAGUAAUUUCCCUCCCUAAUGGGAGAUUUCGUUUUGGUCUCUGAUUGGUGCUGGUUGUAGGUUAAAUUGGGUGUCUGGACUGCCCAAAGCUCUGUAGUUUGUCAGUGAGGCAAAUAUUUGUGGUGGUCCCAAGCUGGGAUCCUAAACACGAGGUUGAACCUGGGAGUGGACUCACCAGAGUAGCCAGCACUCUCAGAUGGAAGAGGAUGUGUUCUCCCUGGAGCGUGAGCUGGGUGCAAGGAAAAGUCUGAAGGACAUCUUCCCAUGAAUUCUGACUCUUCCCCAUAUUCUCUUAUCAAUACCUCUAACUGCCCUGGUUCUUGUUUAUAGAACAGACUGUUCCAGACCAAAAGGCCCUCAGUUCCAGUAGAAUAGGGAGCCUUAUGCAAACAAGAAACAGACCACCUCCAUGGACUAAGAUGGAUGACCCGACCCUAGAACAGUUUCCAGCUUCCUGGUUUUCUGCUAGCCCCUAUACACCCCUUACUCUGUAAGAGAACUGCUUCAGAACCAGUAACCCCUCUCAGGUCUUUAUCUCAGUAAAGCCUGUCCUUGCUGCAAGACUCUCUCCUUUUUAUUUCUUACACUGGGAAAGUGAGGUAAUUUCCUGUAAAGAGGAGCAGGGAAUGGUAAGAAGGAUACCUGUAGGAUCCUGAGGGCCUUGAAUAUGAAUGACAGUGGACUUUGAACAGUAACGAGGCACAAACUAAUAAACAACCAGAGAUCAGUCUCCACUGAAGCUUUCCUCCGGCUUGGAUAAGGCGCUCCACAGUUAGGUUCCUGGACAAGACAGCUCCUGCGACAGCUUUGCUCACACCUGAGCAGCCAAUGCGGGGUGACCGGCGGUGGGGGCCCAGGGCUGCCGGGAGGCGGGACCCAGCCCGGGUAUAAGAGCAGCGCCGCUGUCCCGGCCGCAGUGCUGAAGCCGGCGCCCCAGCUGCUACCCGGAGGUCCCGGCUCUGAGCUCGAAACAGGGCCGGAGAGCUCGAAGAGGAGGGCAAGGAGCUCGUCCCCCGGCCUCGGCCAGCCCGGCCUUCGAGGAUGCGGCUGCUCGGGAAGCUGCGCUCCUCGGGUCCGGAGCCCGC
Fukomys damarensis (Damara mole-rat) is the source of this 4020-nucleotide long non-coding RNA. RefSeq lists it as uncharacterized. The record is from RefSeq and is a predicted model, not a curated record. The transcript is spliced from 4 exons. Lineage: Eukaryota; Metazoa; Chordata; Mammalia; Rodentia; Bathyergidae.